AUGCUCACCACCGCCGGUUGGUUCCUCCACCAUUGCACCUACUACAGCAACCCACCUCGGAUUGUGAGCGCGACAUCAUCUCAAGAGUAUGGUACAUUGUCAAUGUCCGUACCUACAUCAGCUACGUCUUUGCGACAAGGUAAAAGUAAAGGUAUUGAUGAUAUAACUUCACAUGAGAAUGAUUCAUGCCUAGUUAACUUGAAUGCAUCAUGUGUUGAGUUACCUCUUGAUUUGAGCACACCACCUAUUUUAGAGAAUCUUGUUAUUGUCAUGAAUGCGUUAUGUGAUCAAACAACUGAAAUACCAACAAUUUUGAGUACAGCCAUUAAAUUAACUGUUGAUGCCAAAGAACCAAUGUUUAAUCAUUUUGAUAUGACCUCUAAUCUUGGUGAUGAUUCUGUGUCAAUUGACUUAUUGCAUGUUUGCUUAUUUAAGCAUGUUGUAGCAUGUAAGUUUGAUGCAAGUAAGGUUUAUUCACCAAUGUUGGGAUGGUUUAAUGAUGAACAUUUCCAAUCCUUUGAUAUGAAUAAGAGCUUCACUUAUAUGUGCAAACUGAGUUGCAAUAUUUUCAUGCCUUCUACUUCUUGUGAUAAUAUUUCGGCUUCAGAUUUUAUGAACUAUGAAAAAAAAUGGAUGACAUAG
RNAcentral lists this ribosomal RNA (642 nucleotides) under Triticum aestivum (bread wheat). Its description in RNAcentral is "partial small subunit ribosomal RNA". The record is from RNAcentral. Lineage: Eukaryota; Viridiplantae; Streptophyta; Magnoliopsida; Poales; Poaceae.